AUGACAUGGGAAGGGGCUUCUCUGGCCAGAGUAGUUUGGGAGACGCAGAGUUGGGCAAGGUGGAGGCUUGGCUUGCAGCAGGACUUACCAGAGCCUUUAAUGGGCUCUGCGAGCUCUGACACUCCGGAGGGGGUGGGUGGCAGGAUUCCCAAACCAGUCCGUGUUUGGAAAGUCUCCUGGGAUCCAGGUCGGAGAGGCUCAGAGCUGCCCGCGCCAGGAAAUGCAGGGUCCGAGGGCUGGAGACCUUUCGCACUGACCCGAGGGCUCCGUCUCGCCAUCUGCUCCCUGGCGGCUCCGGGGCUCACCUGGCACCUGCAGGAGGGUCCCUGCCCCUGGGAAGUUCCCCCCAGGACCCCGGGUGCCCACCAGUAUCUGUAUCUUCCUACCAGUGAGGAUGCUGUUUACCCUCCCACUCACUCUGAAAACCUCAAAUGCUUACUUUCUAUUAAAAAGUCAGAUUUCACCCAGUUUCCUUACUGGUCGGACGGUGGGCGUCAGGAUCCCGCAGUGUCCCGAGCCGGGCUGGUGGAGUCCGUGGGGUGUAGACCACGGUGCAGGUGUAGACCUCGCUCCCGACCCUGCGGCCUGGGCCUCCUCAGCUGGGAUGGUGCAAGGUGUUACAGAUUCUCCCCCCGCGGCGGGGGCGCCUCCUGUCUUCCCGGGGCGUCUGUGAGGCUGCUGGGGCUCUGGACAGACAGACGCACAGACCCUGCCUGGCCAGGCGCGUCCUGGGAGGGAGCAGCAGGGCUGCCCAUUAUUUCCACACCCCAAAGUCCCCGUGGGUCCCUCUGGCCGCGUGCGUUCCGCGGUUGCUUGGGGCACGACGGCCACGCGCACCGGGAGCCGCUGGCCUCCUGUCUCCGGGCCAGGAAGGUGAUUUCCUGCAGCGUCCUGCUGUCGGGUGUCCGUGAGCCGGCGCUGGGGCUUGGAGGCCGCUGGCUGGCCGCAGCGAGGGCGGCGGUCCUGGGGCUGCCCCGCAGCCUCCCCAGCCAGGCCUCCGCCGGCACCGGGCACGGGCGCCAAGGGCAGGCGAUGCCAGGCACACGCCCCCCGCCCCUGCCCGCCCAGACUGGCUUCCAGAAUCCCCAGCAAAGAUGCGCUCACCCCCCCCCCCCGCCCACAACACGACAUCCUUCACGUUGUGGCAGGUGUGGGCAGAGCGGGCCUCGCAGGGAGGGGCAGUCAGCUGGCCCAAGCCACGAGCUGCCGUGGCCAGAGGUCAGGGCACCCCGGGCACCAGGGUGUCCAGGUCAGGACGCCCUAGGGUGCUCCUAG
RNAcentral lists this long non-coding RNA (1275 nucleotides) under Canis lupus familiaris (dog). RNAcentral describes it as "lncRNA (ENSCAFG00000042138.2)". The record is from RNAcentral. Lineage: Eukaryota; Metazoa; Chordata; Mammalia; Carnivora; Canidae.